GAUGAACGCUGGCGGCGUGCCUAAUACAUGCAAGUCGAGCGAACGGACGAGAAGCUUGCUUCUCUGAUGUUAGCGGCGGACGGGUGAGUAACACGUGGAUAACCUACCUAUAAGACUGGGAUAACUUCGGGAAACCGGAGCUAAUACCGGAUAAUAUUUUGAACCGCAUGGUUCAAAAGUGAAAGACGGUCUUGCUGUCACUUAUAGAUGGAUCCGCGCUGCAUUAGCUAGUUGGUAAGGUAACGGCUUACCAAGGCAACGAUGCAUAGCAGACCUGAGAGGGUGAUCGGCCACACUGGAACUGAGACACGGUCCAGACUCCUACGGGAGGCAGCAGUAGGGAAUCUUCCGCAAUGGGCGAAAGCCUGACGGAGCAACGCCGCGUGAGUGAUGAAGGUCUUCGGAUCGUAAAACUCUGUCAUUAGGGAAGAACAUAUGUGUAAGUAACUGUGCACAUCUUGACGGUACCUAAUCAGAAAGCCACGGCUAACUACGUG
RNAcentral lists this ribosomal RNA (497 nucleotides) under uncultured bacterium. Its description in RNAcentral is "partial 16S ribosomal RNA". It matches the Rfam family "Bacterial small subunit ribosomal RNA", at positions 28 to 507 of the family's 1533-position model. The record is from RNAcentral.